Molecule: ribosomal RNA, 742 nt
Filed under: uncultured bacterium
Lineage: Bacteria
Description: bacterial SSU rRNA
Rfam family: Bacterial small subunit ribosomal RNA
Source: RNAcentral
CGCGUAGAUAAUCUACCUGGUGAUCUGGGAUAACACUUCGAAAGGGGUGCUAAUACCGGAUAAGCCCACGGGGUCCUUGGACCCUGCGGGAAAAGGAGGGGACCUUCGGGCCUUCUGUCAUCAGAUGAGUCUGCGUACCAUUAGCUAGUUGGUGGGGUAAAGGCCUACCAAGGCGACGAUGGUUAGCUGGUCUGAGAGGAUGAUCAGCCACACUGGAACUGAGACACGGUCCAGACUCCUACGGGAGGCAGCAGUGGGGAAUUUUGCGCAAUGGGGGAAACCCUGACGCAGCAACGCCGCGUGAGUGAUGAAGGCCCUUGGGUCGUAAAGCUCUGACAGAGGGAAAGAAAUGUACGAUGGCUAAUAUCCAUUGUACUUGACGGUACCCUCAAAGGAAGCACCGGCUAACUCCGUGCCAGCAGCCGCGGUAAUACGGAGGGUGCGAGCGCUGUUCGGAUUUAUUGGGCGUAAAGCGCGUGUAGGCGGUUUUAUAAGUCUGAUGUGAAAGCCCCGGGCUCAACCUGGGAAGUGCAUUGGAUACUGUAAGACUUGGAUACGGGAGAGGGUAGUGGAAUUCCUGGUGUAGGAGUGAAAUCCGUAGAUAUCAGGAGGAACACCGGUGGCGAAGGCGGCUGCCUGGACCGAUAUUGACGCUGAGACGCGAAAGCGUGGGUAGCAAACAGGAUUAGAUACCCUGGUAGUCCACGCCGUAAACGAUGAGUACCAGGUGUUGCGGGUAUUG